GCAUAUACCACAACUUGAAGAUAAUGCACCUCAUCUCGUCCGAAAGCAGAAGCUAAGCAGGUUUGGGCCGGGUUAGUAUUUGGAUGGGAGACCACCUGGGAAGACGGGGUGCUGUAGGCU
This 120-nucleotide ribosomal RNA is filed under the name Aotus nancymaae (Ma's night monkey). The record is from RNAcentral. Lineage: Eukaryota; Metazoa; Chordata; Mammalia; Primates; Aotidae.